This 713-nucleotide ribosomal RNA is filed under the name Dyella sp. RNAcentral describes it as "bacterial SSU rRNA". Lineage: Bacteria; Pseudomonadati; Pseudomonadota; Gammaproteobacteria; Lysobacterales; Rhodanobacteraceae. The record is from RNAcentral.
UGUGGGUGGCGAGUGGCGGACGGGUGAGUAAUGCAUCGGGACCUGCCCAGACGUGGGGGAUAACGUAGGGAAACUUACGCUAAUACCGCAUACSUCCUACGGGAGAAAGCGGGGGAUCGAAAGACCUCGCGCGGUUGGAUGGACCGAUGUUCGAUUAGCUAGUUGGUGAGGUAAUGGCUCACCAAGGCGACGAUCGAUAGCUGGUCUGAGAGGAUGAUCAGCCACACUGGGACUGAGACACGGCCCAGACUCCUACGGGAGGCAGCAGUGGGGAAUAUUGGACAAUGGGCGAAAGCCUGAUCCAGCAAUGCCGCGUGUGUGAAGAAGGCCUUCGGGUUGUAAAGCACUUUUAUCAGGAGCGAAAUACUGCCGGCUAAUACCCGGCGGGGCUGACGGUACCUGAGGAAUAAGCACCGGCUAACUUCGUGCCAGCAGCCGCGGUAAUACGAAGGGUGCAAGCGUUAAUCGGAAUUACUGGGGCGUAAAGCGUGCGUAGGCGGUUAUUUAAGUCUGCUGUGAAAUCCCCGGGCUCAACCUGGGAAUGGCAGUGGGAUACUGGAUAGCUAGAGUGUGAUAGAGGAUGGUGGAAUUCCCGGUGUAGCGGUGAAAUGCGUAUAGAUCGGGAGGAACAUCAGUGGCGAAGGCGGYCAUCUGGGAUCAACACUGACKCUGAGGCACGAAAGSGUGGGGGAGCCAAACAGGAUUAAAUACCC